GCGAGGACGAGGAACUUAUCGCCGGAGCCAACCACGCGGACGUUGAGGGCGUCGAUUAUGCUGGUGCUGACCAUCUUUGACUGUUAACCGGAGGGCAUAUGGUUUUGGACGAAGCUUUUAUCCUGUGUGAUAAGGCAGGUUUUUGAUUGUGAUCUUUUUCCACUCGGAUAGUACUUGGCCUUCAAAGAGGUGGCCCGGGUGUUGUGUUCUUAGAUGAGGUUUUUUAUUAGAAUUUUCAGUUUGGUUCAUACCAAAUACAAUUUGGUGUUUUGUGGCUCAUACUUCCUGCCAAUAGCAGCAGUGUGACGCUGAUAUGUGUGCAUAAGUUUUUCCUUUUGUAUUUUAAAUGAAUUAUUUUUAUAUAUGUGUCAAAUUGUAAUUCGCAUGAA
Non-coding RNA from Prunus avium (sweet cherry), 389 nucleotides. Lineage: Eukaryota; Viridiplantae; Streptophyta; Magnoliopsida; Rosales; Rosaceae. The record is from RefSeq and is a predicted model, not a curated record.